GAUGAGCUGUCUGCUGCAGGGUCCUAAUCUAAUAUAAUUAUGGCUUCUCACCAAAUCAUCCCAGUGGAAUCAUCCGCAGUCUUUGGUUUCUCUGCGUAACAGCCAGUGAGAUACGGUAAUGGCCUACAAUUUUUAUGAGGUCCUCGGAAUUGGCAAGCGCGGAAGCCGAGACAAGCCAACAGGAAAGACCGGCAGUGCAAACAUGUUCAUGUGGUGUAGAGGAAAGGAGAAAAAUAUCUGUAAACAUGCGUACAACACACACGCAUACACAUACACAGCCCUGUUCUUCAAACUGCUCUGAAGGUCAGCAGCGACGCUCUGAUUCUCCGUGUGACUGUGAUUGCAUCCUCUGGAAAUUCAUUAAUGCAAAUACACAGAACUCACAAAUAAGCUGAUUGACAUGCAAACAAGUCUAUUCAAUUAGCAUGAAAUCUGAAUAAAAGCACUUUGAAAGUGCGGUAUUGGGGCUGAUGAGAGAUGCAGGUCUGUAAUUGAGCAUGACCUAUGAGGAAGUGCUGAAGAGGGUCUUGCCCUAAUGCUGCUGGAGGGCUUUUGUUUUUGUUUUUUUCUGGCAUCUGGGCAGGAGCAAUUAGAGCUUUGCCAUUUAAAUAAAUCAAUCUAAAGAGAGCAACAGAUCAACCUCCGUUUAAUGCCUAAUUACUUAAGCCCCUCCCCCAGAAUACAGGCCCCAGUUAACUAUGCAAAUGAACCGGCUCCUAUGACACG
This is a long non-coding RNA of Puntigrus tetrazona (Sumatra barb), 726 nucleotides long. RefSeq lists it as uncharacterized. The record is from RefSeq and is a predicted model, not a curated record. Lineage: Eukaryota; Metazoa; Chordata; Actinopteri; Cypriniformes; Cyprinidae. The transcript has 3 exons.